This 257-nucleotide ribosomal RNA is filed under the name uncultured bacterium. RNAcentral describes it as "partial 16S ribosomal RNA". The record is from RNAcentral.
CUGCUGCCUCCCGUAGGAGUCUGGGCCGUGUCUCAGUCCCAAUGUGGCCGUCCGCCCUCUCAGGCCGGCUACUGAUCGUCGCUUUGGUGGGCCGUUACCCCGCCAACUGGCUAAUCAGACGCGGGUCCAUCUCAUACCACCGGAGUUUUCAACAUCCCGGCAUGCACCGGAAUGUGUUAUGCGGUAUUAGCACCUGUUUCCAGGUGGUAUCCCCCGGUAUGAGGCAGGUUACCCACGCGUUACUCACCCGUCCGCCA